GAACCUGCGGAGGGAUCAUUACCGAGUUAUCAACUCCCAAACCCCUGUGAACAUACCUUUUGUUGCCUCGGCGGGAUCGCCCCGGCGCCUCCGGGCCCGGACCCAGGCGCCCGCCGCAGGACCCAAACUCUUGUUUUCUAUAUGAAUCUUCUGAGUGACACAAGCAAAUAAAUUAAAACUUUCAACAACGGAUCUCUUGGUUCUGGCAUCGAUGAAGAACGCAGCGAAAUGCGAUAAGUAAUGUGAAUUGCAGAAUUCAGUGAAUCAUCGAAUCUUUGAACGCACAUUGCGCCCGGCAGUAUUCUGCCGGGCAUGCCUGUUCGAGCGUCAUUUCAACCCUCAAGCCCCCGGGCUUGGUGUUGGAGAUCGGCCCGCCCUCGUGGCUGGCCGGCUCCGAAAUCUAGUGGCGGUCCCGCUGUAGCCUCCUCUGCGUAGUAGCAAUAUCUCGCACCGGAACGCGGCGGAGCCUUGCCGUAAAACCCCCAACUUCUGAAGGUUGACCUCGGAUCAGGUAGGAAUACCCGCUGAACUUAAGCAUAUCAAUAAGC
This 548-nucleotide ribosomal RNA is filed under the name fungal sp. E14530A. Its description in RNAcentral is "eukaryotic LSU rRNA". The stretch from base 177 to 330 matches the Rfam family "5.8S ribosomal RNA". The record is from RNAcentral. Lineage: Eukaryota; Fungi.